Lolium perenne is the source of this 1872-nucleotide non-coding RNA. Lineage: Eukaryota; Viridiplantae; Streptophyta; Magnoliopsida; Poales; Poaceae. The record is from RefSeq and is a predicted model, not a curated record.
CAACACAGCCACGCACGCUGGGCUGGACCGACACCAGCACACGCACGCUCCUCUGCCUCUCGAUUCCCCUUCUCCUUCUCACGCGAUGCAGCGGCCGUGGCUGCUGGGUACACUCCGGCCGAUACCGGCCGCCUCCGGCGCUGCUGCCAGACGCCGCAGCUCCGCCCUGGCAUCCUCUCCUAUUUCCCGGCACCGCGACGCUCCCUUGCUCUCUCACGCAUACGAGCACCGGCGACGCUGCGCUCCGCCGCUUUUCUUCGGCUGCCUCCGGCCUGCUCUGGCGCCGGCGAGAUGUUUUUCGGGCUCCCCUCGACGUCCUCUACCUCUCUGUCCCACUCGAUUUGAUUUUCCAGCUCUACCUCCUCCGUCCCCAAACCUAGAAACCCUAGUGGUCGCUGGUCGGUUUGGCCGUCGCCGGCCAACCUCCACGUCGUUGCUAGUCGCUGCUAGUCGCUAUUGUUGUCCGGUGAGGCUUCGCCCUCACACGACGCCUCGAUGCCGACAUGCUCCUGCUCACGCUCAGCGCUCCCUAGCGUGGAUCCGCCGCCAUAUUCUCCCGGUCGUUGAUGGCUGACCGGCGGGGCUCCACCAUAUAAGCGCCGCCACCACGCCCCCAAGCGCCUCCACACGCGCUCGGCCGAACCCUAGGUUCGCCGGUGUGAUGCUGCAAGUCGCUGCUGCUCCCCAUUGGCGACCCGCCUCCUCGUCGACCACGAGCCCCAGCUCGAGCUCGCCAUCUCGGUGGUGUCUGGUGGUUAGGCGUGCCGUUCCUAGCGCUGUGUUGUGCUGUGCUGUUGCGACUACUUCAUCCUCGACGCCGGUCGAAUGACGUCGCGGGCGCAACCCCAACGUCAACUAUUGCACCUACUUCGCUACUUUAAUCACUUAUCUGAUGGAGAGAUGACUGCUAAAUGGACUGUUGGUGCGGCUGGUUUGGUGUGGUUUGCAAGGAAAUCUGCUAUUGCUACUACCAGGUGGUUUUUAUACUGAUGUGAUAUCUACCGUGGGGAUGACAACACAUAGAUUGCAUGUGUGUGUGUGAGCUGCUAGGUAGGUUGCUCCCUCUCCAUGAGCAGGUUGCAAACUUGACUUUGUUUGCCUCAUUUGCAAGGCACGGAUCAACCUUGUACUUAUCCCCUGUUGGACUUUAUUUAAGAUACAGCCAAGUGUAUAUCUCUUAUUGGUCUUCUGUGACUAAAUGGAUUCAACUGAUGAGCUUAAAUAUUGAUAGCUCAAGUAUUAAUUACACUUUGCUUAAUUAGCAAUUGACUUUGCAUUAAGUGCUUAGGAUCAUUUUGACCCUUCCAUGUCAAACAUGAUCCAAUUAAAUAAGAUGGUGAGCUUUAUGAUUUGUAGCUAGAUUAGAGGGAAUAAAAAUUGUUGCCUUGCUGCCUCAAGUAGUGAAUCAAUUAUUGUUGCCUUUUGAUAUGGAUCAAGUAGUGUUGCUUUAGUCCACGGUUGUCUUUAUUCCAUGUUGCCUCAUGAUCCAAGAUUUACUCAACUAUGCUUGGUUGAUCCAUAUGUUGUCGAAAUAUGAUUAAAUCCCUCUAAUCACUAUUUGGGGAUUAGGACAAGUUCCUAGUUCUCAUUAGCUAGUCUCCGAUAUUAAAAAUGUCUCCCAAAUAUGGAGACAAACAUUUUAAUAUUAACCCAAUGUUAUUUCUCUUUUGCCUUUGCUUUCUUUCUCUUUUGCAGGAAAAGAAUAAGAAGAUUGGGAGAGAUUUGGAAGAUGAAGAUUUAGUUUAGGAUUUCCUCUUUAUUACUUUUGUAAUCUUCUAUUUCUUUUGGAGCUUGUAUAUGAUUGAAUUAUGAUAAUUGUAAUAAGGUUUAAAUUAUCCAUCUAUUUUUAAUUAUCAAAUGUGUUAACUUUUA